AAAUUACGCCCUCCAUGAAGCCGGAAUUGCUAGUAAUGGCAGGUCAGCAUACUGCCGUGAAUACGUUCCCGGGCCCUUGUACACACCGCCCGUCACACCAUGAGAGUUGGAGAUACCCGAAGCCUGUGAGCUAACAAACGAGGCAGCAGUCGAAGGUAGAAUCAAUGAUUGGGGUGAAGUCGUAACAAGGUAAC
This 194-nucleotide ribosomal RNA is filed under the name uncultured bacterium. RNAcentral describes it as "partial 16S ribosomal RNA". It matches the Rfam family "Bacterial small subunit ribosomal RNA", at positions 1307 to 1500 of the family's 1533-position model. The record is from RNAcentral.